UAGUCCACGCCCUAAACGAUGUCUACUAGUUGUUGGUGGAGUAAAAUCCAUUAGUAACGCAGCUAACGCGUGAAGUAGACCGCCUGGGGAGUACGGUCGCAAGAUUAAAACUCAAAUGAAUUGACGGGGGCCCGCACAAGCGGUGGAUUAUGUGGAUUAAUUCGAUGCAACGCGAAAAACCUUACCUGGCCUUGACAUGCCACUAACGAAGCAGAGAUGCAUUAGGUGCUCGAAAGAGAAAGUGGACACAGGUGCUGCAUGGCUGUCGUCAGCUCGUGUCGUGAGAUGUUGGGUUAAGUCCCGCAACGAGCGCAACCCUUGUCGUUAAUUGCCAUCAUUUAGUUGGGCACUUUAACGAGACUGCCGGUGACAAACCGGAGGAAGGUGGGGAUGACGUCAGGUCCUCAUGGCCCUUAUGGCCAGGGCUUCACACGUAAUACAAUGGUCGGUACAGAGGGUUGCCAACCCGCGAGGGGAGCCAAUCCCAGAAAGCCGAAUCGUAGUCCGGAUUGCAGU
Molecule: ribosomal RNA, 516 nt
Filed under: uncultured bacterium
Lineage: Bacteria
Description: bacterial SSU rRNA
Rfam family: Bacterial small subunit ribosomal RNA
Source: RNAcentral